Ficedula albicollis (Collared flycatcher) is the source of this 564-nucleotide non-coding RNA. The record is from the annotation of a RefSeq genome assembly. Lineage: Eukaryota; Metazoa; Chordata; Aves; Passeriformes; Muscicapidae.
AUGGCCUCGAGCUCCCUCCCGCUCCUCGCCCUCCUGGCCCUGCUGGCCCUGCCAGGGCUCCGGGCGGCCGUGACCCUGGUGGAGUCCGGGGGGGACCUCCAGCCCCCUGGGGGAUCCCUGACUCUGCUCUGCCGCGCCUCUGGAUUCAAUUUCGGAAGUUUUGGAAUGUUCUGGUUCCGCCAGGGCCCUGGGAAGGCACUGGAAUUUCUUGCAAGGAUCAACACUGGUGGCAGCACCGACUACGCGCCGUCGGUCAAGGGCCGGUUCACAAUCUCCAGGGACAACAGGCAGAGCUCGGUGACGCUGACCAUGAACAGCCUCAAGGACGAGGAUUCGAUCUCCAGGGACAACGGGCAGAGCUCGGUGACGCUGACCAUGAACAGCCUCAAGGACGAGGAUUCCGGCGCCUAUUUCUGUGCCAAGGGUGCUGGUGCUAGUGCUGCUGCUGGUGCUAAUGGUGACGAUGCCGGCGGUGGCCCCUCACCCCUCUUUGCGUCCCCAGCUGUCCCCAAAUGUGCUCAGACCCCUCCCCACAGCUCUUUAAUUAGGAAAUCAAUGGAGUAG